GCCAAACGCCUUAGGUAGUGGGAGUCAGCUCCAUUCUCUUGAUAUUUAGUUUUAAUCGGGAAGCAGCUGUGUGUCUUAAAAUUACCGCAAAUUCUAAUAGCCAUUAAAGUCACCGAGGAUCCACCAAUAAAAUAUGGAUCUAAUCAUGAAUUUCUAGUGAGAACUCUCCUGUGUAUGCUGCUGCCAGCCAGGGAAUGUAAUUAGAUAUUUAUUUAUAAUAUAAUUUAUGAUUCAGACUUGAAAGUACCUAGAUUCAGAGGUACAGAAAUAAAUGUACUGUACUUACAAUCCAAUAUAGUGGUCAAGUGUAUUGGUACUAAGAAAUAUAUAUUAUGCUGUAGUGUAUUGAUAAAGCUUAAGAGCAAAAGUAAACGUCGGGAGUCUUAAGUCAGGCAGAAGCAUUUUGUCACACAGGCUGUGGCGUGUGGUUGGUGCUUCUAAACAAAGGAACAGAUGUGAAAUGUAAAAAAAUCUGUAACUUGUAAAAAAAAAAGAACAAAUAGUGUAAAAACGGCUGUGACUAAUAAGAAAAAAAAUCUGGUGAGAGUUGUAAAUACUGUAUACGAAAAACAACUUUGGAUGUAAAUAAAUAAUAGUCCUAACUUGUAAAUAAAAGGAAAAGAAAUUUGAAUAACCAAAAUAAAAGCAAUUGUAACCUGUAAAGAGAAGAAAAACAGCUGUGACCUUUAAAUGGAAACACCUGCGAUGAAAAGAAGGCAGCUGUGAAACUACUGUAACGCGUUCACAAAGAAGAGAACAAGGUUGCGUACAGCCACUCCCAGCACCAAACUUACUUGUGUGAGCGUAUUGAUUAACGCAAGUGCGUCAUAGCCAUGGGUCUUUGACUUCAACAGCCCUCGACAACCUACUGUAGUCAUCCCCAGAACCACCUAGUUCCCGUUUUCGUUAUGAAGCUUCGAAUCGGCCGCUGGACUUUUCGAUUCAGAGUAUCAGGUCUUUUAAAGAAUUACCAGCGACUCUGAUUCACUGAAUUAAGUCAGCAAUUCACAUAUGACGAUGUGUGAAGUGUUUUAUAAGUGUUAAAUUCAACUAAUAAAGUACAAUAGUGACAAUAUAAGGUACUUAAAGGUGUGUAUGAGUUAAAAUAAUAUUAUUAUAGACCUAAAGAGAUGUAAACGAAUGCUGGUGCUAGAACAGCUGUUCUCAGUUUGUAAACGCAGACGAGACGAUGGGUUAGGCUUCCCGGGAGUUAAAGGACUGCUACCUUGUCUCCGUCAGUCAUUGUUGCUCUACUUUCUGUUCGCUUCAUCUAUUACCUUCACGCUACACGUCUCUACCAGUUUCAUUCACCAGGGAGCAGAGCGUUACCGUGAUGUAAGGCGUGAGAAGCAGGAUGGCCCGAGGCUGUGACAACAACAUGACCGACCAGACCCAAACUCCACACCAGCUGGACUGCACUGUGCCGACCAUCGAGAUACAGGGAAGCGGGGGAGACGAAGACGACGAUGACGACGCUUCCGUCUUCCUACAGCAGCUCGGUAUCAACUACGGCAUCACGGCGCGGUCCAAGGCCAGCAGGAAGUCCAUCGUCCACAGCAAAGACUUGAUAGAUGUGUCGCGGGUGGGGUCGGCAGUGUCGACGGUG
This is a long non-coding RNA of Homarus americanus (American lobster), 1606 nucleotides long. RefSeq lists it as uncharacterized. The record is from RefSeq and is a predicted model, not a curated record. The transcript is spliced from 5 exons. NCBI's taxonomy places the organism in Eukaryota, Metazoa, Arthropoda, Malacostraca, Decapoda, Nephropidae.